CGCGUAGGCGGACCGAUAAGUCGUCUGUGAAAUCUGUCGGCUCAACCAGCAGCCUGCAGUCGAAACUAUCGGUCUUGAGUAUGGGAGAGGAAAGCGGAAUCUCUGGUGUAGCGGUGAAAUGCGUAGAUAUCAGAGAGAACACCGGUGGCGAAGGCGGCUUUCUGGCCUAAUACUGACGCUGAGGCGCGAAAGCUAGGGGAGCGAACG
Molecule: ribosomal RNA, 207 nt
Filed under: uncultured bacterium
Lineage: Bacteria
Description: partial 16S ribosomal RNA
Rfam family: Bacterial small subunit ribosomal RNA
Source: RNAcentral